Molecule: ribosomal RNA, 464 nt
Filed under: uncultured bacterium
Lineage: Bacteria
Description: partial 16S ribosomal RNA
Rfam family: Bacterial small subunit ribosomal RNA
Source: RNAcentral
CUACGGGUUGCUGCAGUGGGGAAUAUUGGACAAUGGGGGAAACCCUGAUCCAGCAAUGCCGCGUGUGUGAAGAAGGCCUGCGGGUUGUAAAGCACUUUCGGUUGGGAGGACUGCUUCUAGCACUAAUAUUGUUGGAAGUUGACGUUACCUUCAGAAGAAGCACCGGCUAACUCCGUGCCAGCAGCCGCGGUAAUACGGAGGGUGCACGCGUUAAUCGGAAUUACUGGGCGUAAAGCGCGCGUAGGCGGCUAGAUAAGUCGGGUGUGAAAGCCCCGGGCUUAACCUGGGAACUGCAUCCGAUACUGUCUAGAUUGAGUACAGGAGAGGAGAGUGGAAUUCCACAUGUAGCGGUGAAAUGCGUAGAUAUGUGGAGGAACACCAAUGGCGAAGGCAGCUCUCUGGCCUGAUACUGACGCUGAGGUGCGAAAGCGUGGGGAGCAAACAGGAUUAGUACCCUCGUAGUC